Molecule: non-coding RNA, 123 nt
Organism: Triticum aestivum (bread wheat)
Lineage: Eukaryota; Viridiplantae; Streptophyta; Magnoliopsida; Poales; Poaceae
Source: Rfam
UACUUACUCCCUCCGUUCCAAAUUAAAUUACUUGUAGGCAGGUAUGGAUGUAUCUAGAUGUAUUUUAGUUCUAGAUACAUCUAUUUUUGCUCGACGAUUAAUUUGAAACGGAGGGAGUAGCUC